CGUCAUCAAGAAAAAUCGUGGCAGUCGAUCCAGCAACCAAUGGUCGGCGGCCGGCCGCGGCUGGACGAGCCCAUCCUCCCCGCGGCCCGCUCCUCGCGGCCGCUGGCCAAGGCCACCCCCGGCGGCUAAAGCUCCUCGCAGCGCCGCUCCGCCCCUCUUCCCGCGCACCUGCCGCGGCCGCCGCUCCGCCGCGCCCUGGACGCCCCGCCGCGGGAUCUGGGUGGCGCGCUCGAGCAGAGGCCCCGACGCGAAGACGGCACCCGACUUGCGCGCGCCAUCACCGGGUCCCGACGCCGCCGCGCGCCUCCGCCUCCGCCUCCGCGGCCCACCUCGCCGCGCCGCCGGGAUCCGCCGGGGAGGACCGAUCUGGAGCUCUGGCCAUGGAGCCUCCGCCUCGCCGCCGAAGGGAGGUGGCAGGGGAGCCCGUCCGCCUACGCGUGCGUUGCAGGCCUCCACGGCCGUCGCCGCCGCAGGCCCCGCAGAGGAGGCCGCUGCCGUUGUGGCCCCGCGCGGAGGAAGCCGUGGAGGGAAGGAGGCCGGCCCGCCGCCGCUGCGGAGCUCGAGCUCCAGCCAGGCGGCCGCAUCGAAUCAAGGGAGAAGCCGCGCCCGCCGCGCCACUACUUGGGUUGCCGUCGUGGCCCAGGCGGUGCUCGCUGUCGCCCGGGGAUAGAGGAAGGGGCCGGUGAAGUGGGGGGCGCUAGAUGGCGGAGCUCUGCGGACGAGGGGGAAGAGCGCGGCCGUCACGGGGAGCAAGGGUGCGGCCGGCACUGAAGUUCCGGCACGCGCUCCGGAGCUCCCCCGCGGCCGAGCUCACCGGCCUCCUGUUCAUUGGGCUUGCACGCGCCAAGAUGCACCCCACUUUGACCGGCUAACAGGCGCUCGCCGCUUCGUCGUGCUCGCCCGUCGCCCGUCGCCCGACGAAUCCAGCGCCUCCGACCGCGGGCACAACACAGCAUGGGGCACAGACGCUGUUCAGCGGCGAGUCCAUCGCGUUCAUGGUGGUCGGCGGCAACAGAAGGCCUUGCAAUUAAUGGCGCCACGCAAGCGAGGCAGCGGCAAGGAGCAUGCCGACAUGCGGCCAGCCGGCGGUGAAGCGCCUCGACCACCACGGCGUGCACAUGCGGUAGCGCCGUAGCGGAGCAAUUGCAAUUCACAAUUUAAAGAUAACUAUGGAUCAUGGUGGAUAGCUCAAACCUACAGCAACACAAGGGAUCUGCACUUCUACAGGAAAUAAAUAUCAACUCUUUGUUCAACAGUUUACAGCUACGGUUAUGAUCUGCAACCAACAUUUGUAACUGAACAUGGCCAACGACUGGUCACGGGAUUUCGCUGGCACCUUGCUUACUAGCUUUGAUAUGCUUUCCUUCCUCUUUUAUGAGCACAAAUGAUAACCUUUGAAGGUUCAAUUUAUAUGAUCCACAACUUUGUAUUAAAUAUGUAACUUUAUCAAGGUAUCAUGUACUAUUUGCAUACACUCAGAAUCCAUGAAUCACAUAAAUAUAAUACUACCACAAAUA
Molecule: long non-coding RNA, 1517 nt
Organism: Panicum virgatum (switchgrass)
Lineage: Eukaryota; Viridiplantae; Streptophyta; Magnoliopsida; Poales; Poaceae
Exons: 2
Source: RefSeq, a predicted model, not a curated record